Molecule: long non-coding RNA, 711 nt
Filed under: Olea europaea subsp. europaea
Lineage: Eukaryota; Viridiplantae; Streptophyta; Magnoliopsida; Lamiales; Oleaceae
Source: RNAcentral
CUCGGACCGGAUCGGCCAGUUCGAUCCGGAACCCGUCGAGCCGGACCCAAAUCCGAUCCGAUUGUAAAGGAAUUUAUGGCGAAUAAACAACCCGUUUGAACCGCUGGUUUUACACAAAACCCGAUUACCAACUUUUCCUUGACCCGAUCGGGUCUUAAGCAGCCUGUGUUUCACUUUCCUUACAGAUUCCAGUUUCCCCACUCCCGUCUCCUCACAGCUUCUAAGAUUCUUGCAAAAUUAAAAAUCUCAGCCACCGUCUCCAGUCUCCUAACGGCUUCUUCUCACUCAUGGAACAAACAGUGCCACUAUGGUCACCUGAGAUCUGGAAUCUUUCAUCUGAACUUAACACCAGAAAGAAUCCCAGUGAAAGAUCUCAAGAUUUUCACAGCUAAUUCCUCAGCAAAGACAGGCUAUUAUUUUUCAAUGGCUUGUUAAGUAGGCUUUGAAGCUAGGCUGUAAAAUUCUUUACCUUUCACUAAAUCUUUAAUCAAUCGUUUCCUCUUUAUAAGUAGGGUUUCAUUCAAAAUGCUCAUUUUUUCUCGCUCAGUGUGUAAAUUUUUUAGAUCUGGUUUCGAGGGGAAGAAGGGUUUGCUAUGGUUUAGAUCUUGUUUUUAGAUCUCACUCAGCAUUUUUGUUUUUAUUAAGAGCAUAGGGGCAAGUGCCAAGUAGGAGAAGAUGGCUCAGUGACUCAUUUUGUCUGUUGUGUUAGGA